GUCUCUGUGGCUCAAUCCGUUGUGGCAGCGUUUGGCUGUUAACUGAAAGGUUGGUGGUUCAAGCCCACCCAGGUUCG
Molecule: transfer RNA, 77 nt
Filed under: Danio rerio (zebrafish)
Lineage: Eukaryota; Metazoa; Chordata; Actinopteri; Cypriniformes; Danionidae
Rfam family: tRNA
About the family: Transfer RNA (tRNA) molecules are approximately 80 nucleotides in length. Their secondary structure includes four short double-helical elements and three loops (D, anti-codon, and T loops).
Source: Rfam by way of RNAcentral